CAUACCAAGAGAAGAAAUAGGCUCACAACGGAGCGAUGCAACAAUUUGGUCUUCAUAAGGUUCAACAAUAGGAUGUUGUCUAGGAAACAAAAGCUCCUAGAGAAGAAGAAAUGGGAUGUGCUCAUUAGCACCGAUGCUACCGAAGCUCAAGGAUUUCUAUUUGAAGGAGGGGAUGAUUAUGCAAGCGUUGUUUAUCUUGAUGAGGAGGAUGGAGAUGUUCAUCCGGGUACGGGGAUAUCAUGGGAUCUACUUGGUGAAGCAAUGGGAGCACAAGAGCAACUCCAACUUCGGAGGAGUGCAAGAGUGAGAGACCUUGAGGAGGAGGAGUUUGAAUCCGAUCAUGAUGAUGAGGAGAUAGUGGAUGAAGAUGAGAUUGAGUAUGAGGAUGAUUGA
RNAcentral lists this ribosomal RNA (393 nucleotides) under Triticum aestivum (bread wheat). Its description in RNAcentral is "partial small subunit ribosomal RNA". Lineage: Eukaryota; Viridiplantae; Streptophyta; Magnoliopsida; Poales; Poaceae. The record is from RNAcentral.